AUCUGAGGGGGGAAAAGCGCUUAUUAAGCUACAGCGCCACCGGAACAAGUAGAAGGGAGGGUGGAAAGGUGAUCAGAGGGGGAAAAACAAAAAUUAUUCUCCUAUACACUCUUCCUCUGAUGAGUGCAGAAGCCUUUGUACGUUUGCAAGGUAAUUUACAGGCCUUGAGGAACUGCCUGCUUCUGAGGGAAUCCCCCCCCGCAGAACCCUUACUCAGGUCAAAGAUGUCACAGAAGUUACCUGGUCAUGGGAACCGGCGGCUGAGCCGGCACUCGGAUGAACUGAACGGCAGCAGUGAUGGGAAGCAGGCUGGCCGUGUUUUCACAGGAAAGGCUGCACUGGAACUGCCAGAUGACUGUUGAGUAACUGGAAGCACACGUGUAAGUGUUACCAGAGGGCUGCAUGUGGAAACUGAAAGCUUAAACAAAGCCAUGAAAGGAGUAUUUAGGAGGAGGCUGAUGAUCUCUGGAUCUUCACCACCGUGGAAAUGGGGCAGACUGAACACAAUCCUAUUAAUUUGCUUUGGAUUGACUUGGGGAAAAAAGAUAAAAGGAAAAAGAAAAAGAAGUGUUUGCUGUAUAGAACCUCCCCGGUUCAGGAAAGAACAAAUCAUUUACCACAGCUUUUCUGCUGAUUUCUCAUUUCAGGAAAUACACACAUCUAAAUUUCAGCUUCUCAUUGCAAUCAAAGGAAUUUGGGUCCCGAGUGCAAGAAAAAGGCACAUGCAAAUCAGAAGUAACAUCUUUAUCAGAUUUGAUCUGGGUAUGACACAUAAGCAAGUCUCAGAAAUGAAACAUUCCUUUAUCAAAGACACAGCUAUGCUCUACCUGAUCUGCACAGCAAGUAUCUCUUCCCUGGGGAUCCCCUGCACUGCCCCCACAGCUGCAAAAAUGAUGCGAAUGUUCAGACUGGCAGGAACAUCUGG
This is a long non-coding RNA of Gallus gallus (chicken), 925 nucleotides long. RefSeq lists it as uncharacterized. The transcript is spliced from 2 exons. NCBI's taxonomy places the organism in Eukaryota, Metazoa, Chordata, Aves, Galliformes, Phasianidae. The record is from RefSeq and is a predicted model, not a curated record.